Molecule: long non-coding RNA, 242 nt
Filed under: Setaria italica (foxtail millet)
Lineage: Eukaryota; Viridiplantae; Streptophyta; Magnoliopsida; Poales; Poaceae
Description: long non-coding RNA (SITA_LNC005004)
Source: RNAcentral
UUGGUCAUCUUGCCUAGCAAGCAAGCCUCACAUGUCUCGUAUGAUUCAAAAUCAAACGAAGUUAGAAGUCCAUCAGAAUGGAGCUUCUUCAUGCGCUUAUCACUUAUAUGACCCAAACGACAAUGCCACAAGUAGGUAGGACUCAAAUCAAUAGGCCGAGGCCUUUUAGCACUUACAUUACAGACAGGUGAACCAUCAAGAUUUAAAACAAAUAAUCCAUUCACAAUGGGUGCAAAAGCCAU